Molecule: ribosomal RNA, 454 nt
Filed under: uncultured bacterium
Lineage: Bacteria
Description: bacterial SSU rRNA
Rfam family: Bacterial small subunit ribosomal RNA
Source: RNAcentral
UACGGGAGGCAGCAGUGGGGAAUAUUGCACAAUGGGCGCAAGCCUGAUGCAGCCAUGCCGCGUGUAUGAAGAAGGCCUUCGGGUUGUAAAGUACUUUCAGUCGUGAGGAAGGUGUUAAGGUUAAUAACCUUAGCAAUUGACGUUAGCGACAGAAGAAGCACCGGCUAACUCCGUGCCAGCAGCCGCGGUAAUACGGAGGGUGCGAGCGUUAAUCGGAAUUACUGGGCGUAAAGGGCACGCAGGCGGUUAAUUAAGUUGGAUGUGAAAUCCCCGGGCUUAACCUGGGAAUGGCAUUCAAGACUGGUUAGCUAGAGUCUUGUAGAGGGGGUAGAAUUCCAUGUGUAGCGGUGAAAUGCGUAGAGAUGUGGAGGAAUACCGGGUGGCGAAGGCGGCCCCUGGGACAAGACUGACGCUCAUGUGCGAAAGCGUGGGGAGCGAAACAGGAUUAGAUACC